RNAcentral lists this ribosomal RNA (519 nucleotides) under Monascus pilosus. RNAcentral describes it as "eukaryotic LSU rRNA". The stretch from base 174 to 327 matches the Rfam family "5.8S ribosomal RNA". Lineage: Eukaryota; Fungi; Ascomycota; Eurotiomycetes; Eurotiales; Aspergillaceae. The record is from RNAcentral.
UGCGGAAGGAUCAUUACCGAGUGCGGGUCCCCUUCGUGGGACCCAACCUCCCACCCGUGAUUAUUGUACCUCCUGUUGCUUCGGCGCGGCCCCCCGGGGCCCGCCGGAGACAUCUUCUCGAACGCUGUCUUUGAAAAGGAUUGCUGUCUGAGUAAACAUACCAAAUCGGUUAAAACUUUCAACAACGGAUCUCUUGGUUCCGGCAUCGAUGAAGAACGCAGCGAAAUGCGAUAAGUAAUGUGAAUUGCAGAAUUCAGUGAAUCAUCGAAUCUUUGAACGCACAUUGCGCCCCCUGGUAUUCCGGGGGGCAUGCCUGUCCGAGCGUCAUUACUGCCCCUCAAGCGCGGCUUGUGUGUUGGGCCGCCGUCCCCUGCGCCUCCGGGCAAGGGGGACGGGCCCGAAAGGCAGUGGCGGCGCCGCGUCCGGUCCUCGAGCGUAUGGGGCUUUGUCACCCGCUCAGUAGGUCGGGCCGGGGCCUUUGCCCUCUCCAACCUUUUUUUCCUUAGGUUGACCUCGGAU